GCUCUUUCAUGAUGUCUGCGAGUCAUGUGACUGAACGCCUCGCGAUCUCUCCUUCACAUGAGCUCCUGUAUCCACAAGCUCGGGAUAAAUCAGCUUCAGAAACCUGAAACGUCGUGUUUAAGAAGUGCCACGGCUUUCAAAAGCAGGAACGCGGAUGAAAGAUUUAUGAAGUGUUGGACGCAAUUAAACGAGCUGAUGCUCAAUUCUCGUCUCCGUUUCACCUGUGGCCCACCAGACGGCAGAACCCGUGUGUGAGCACAGGUUGAGCCCAGACAGCACCAGGUUGGAGACCUGAUCCUUUCCCUAUAAAU
Molecule: non-coding RNA, 311 nt
Organism: Pimephales promelas (fathead minnow)
Lineage: Eukaryota; Metazoa; Chordata; Actinopteri; Cypriniformes; Leuciscidae
Source: RefSeq, a predicted model, not a curated record